UCUUCGUAUUCUUCCCACGUAAUUGGUGCUGUUUUCAGUUGAUUCAGAGGCAGACGCUGGCAUGGUGCCGCUACGAAAAUUCCUCAAGGUGUUCGACCAACUCGCUCCAUUUUCUUAACGUUUUCGUACCUGGCCGUUAAAAAUACGCGAACGUUUUUCACAAAAUUAAACAUCUCGCUACGAUACUCCAGAAACUGAAGUCUAUCUUUGGUACGUGAACUGUGACGGUGUUCGUUGAUUACGUGUAUUUGUCAACUAUAAAGCGAAACGUCAAGCUCUACGUGUAUUUCGACAAAGAAUUAAGAAGACCAUCGCUGUUCGUUGAUAUGGACGAUGAAUUGGAUAGAAACAUCGAUCGGUCGUCUUCGUAACUCGAACAUAAAUAUCCCGAAAAUAUCAUAUACCGUACGGAAUUGCACAGCACAUUGUACAGCGAGAUCGCCGAUAAAGGGACGUGUCAGACGAGAAGAGAUCCGAUCUCGUAACAAUACGUAUUCUUAUCUGCGUAUUUAUUUCUGUCACAGAAAUUUAAUUUUGACCAUCAAUGUAUUAAAAUAUUUAGAUACAUAUCAUAGUUUGAUAAACCUACGUAAUAUCGAAGUAGACAGAAAAAGGCAAGCCAGCCAAUGGCCAGCGGAUUGCUCAUGGAUGAUGCGAUCUUGAUAUAAUGUCAAGGGCGAGGUACACGCGGUGCGGCAUACACCGAGCACGCGUGUACGAGUCGCAAACCGGGUAUUUUCGGCCGCAAAUCGAACGUUCGACGUGUACGAAUACGGUUUCGGUGUACGCGAAGAUCGUCUAUGACGAAAUGCUGCGCUGAUUCGCGUUGGCGCCAGUUUACGUAUUACGAAUGACAGUAGAACCUGGUUCGUCAAACCCGGUGGAAGAUCUUUUCUCGCGUAGAAAGUGAAAUUGAUGGAAUUCGAGUGUUGCGAUGCAACGAAGGAAAAAUACGCGAACAGACGAAACCUAAAUUUCUCGUGAAAAAUUCUUCUUACAUCGUUAACAUUGUACAGCAUAAAUGAGCUGAAAGUUUGCGCCAACUCGCAUUUCCGUCCUACACAGUGAACGUACUUGAUUAUCACUGUAAAGAAGCACAAGUCCGAGCUAUCUUCGUGUAUCGUAUGCAAUGACCUUUUUUUAAGCAUACGCGCUUCCAAGAAACUACAUCACGUUAUCCAUACGUACGUUACACGUGUUAACCGUACAUGAAAUAAUAAACAGGUAUAAACAGGUAUCGCCGAUAAUCAUUAUCGAUACGUUGACUAACAAUGUUUCAAACGCCUCAUAACUAUCUUGUAUAAUGUUUCAUCAACAUAGACAAGCUAUAAACGUACCUCCUAAUCGACUACUCAUUCGCUUACCCAUCCAACAGUUGCUCUUGGAAAAUUUCUAUUCGAUUUACAGUUUCAAAGAAAUAUUAAAGUGUUGGCUCAAAUUUUAGUAAACAGUUGUUUGUAUGAAAAAAUGAAUUUAAACGAAACGAUUAUUUUCUAAAUUCUCCUAUUUUCAUUUUUCUAAAUCGAAGAUCUAACGAUAAGAAAAAUGUACAGAAUGUGCAUAGUACAGAAACAUGGAAACUCUGUAAUAGUAGAAGAUGCAAAGUGAAUUUCAUUACUUUAGAUGAUAAAACGAUAAAUUUGCAUGAAAAUCAAGUCGAUCUAAUUCAGUGGAAAUCAUUCACGAGGAUCUGAAGGCUUCGACAUGAUCGCUCCUAAUGAUCGUAAUCGGUUGGAACGAUUGGAAUCGGGUAUCAAGGGGAUAAUACGGUGGCAUAUGUCUGAAUCAGUUGGCCCAUUCAGUGGCAAUGACCGGCGGACCUUGCAGCCAACCGACGAGCCAGAAAUUGACAAUAAACGCCCAUUCACGUAAUAACAAUGCCGCAAUGACAGCCGUGCGUGUGAUAUGUAAAUGUCAUGUCCACUGACGACAAUGACUGACACUGAAACUACCGACGAUUCAUCGAAACCGGGUUCGAAUUAAUCGAUGGAUACAUAAAUCAUUAACAAGACCAGUUAUUCCAUAAAAACAAGAAUAAUUAAUUAGUUAGAUGUUCUGUUUCUCUUUCAAAAGAAUUUAAUUAUCGUUGUUGUAUCGUUUACGAUUCUUGAAUUAUUUCAGAACCGAAUUUUCCGAACUGUGGGAAUAAUUUCUUACUCGUUUUUGUUUCUCAAUUAAUUUUCAUAAAUCUUUCUUCCCAGAAACAUUUAAUUACGAUUAUAACAUUCUUCGCGUAACUUGAUUCUCUUGGAAUCAAAUUUUCCUGAUUAUGGGAAAUAUUUCUAUUUUAACUGUUAAACAUUUUCCUAAGAAAUUUUAACAUUGUCAUUUUCCUAAGAAAUAAUGUCCAUUUUUCUAAGAAAUAACAAGUCUAAUGUCGUUUCUUUCAAUGACGAGUUUCCGGCAUAAACAAAGUGUUUUGUGAAAAUUAAUGACUGUAUUUUCGAUUUUGAUAAAUUCAUUCGGUUUUUCUUUAAACCAUCGAUGUCAUGAUCCUUUUGUUUAACUGUGUUAUCGAUGUAAUAUAUAUUACUUUGACGUGGUUGUCUUAUCAGGCUAGAUAAAUGGUUAGUCCAGAUAAUUUUAUGCGACACUAAAUUAUCGCUACUUGUCCGUGAUAUUCUCUUUGCUAUUUCUCAUUUACUUAAGAUUGUUUUUCAGAUUGAACUUUGCGUAUAAAUUAGACAACUUUAUAAUUGUGAAGAUAUGUUGUGCGUACAGUUGUUUAUAAAGUGCUAGACCAGAUAUGCAAUUUAAAGUGCCAAGGAAACAUUGUUUCAUGUUCGAAGCAUCCAAUUCCGUAUUGUCGUUGCUUGUUUGUUUUCUGGUAAAAAUUGAACAAUUUUUGAAUUUCGCAAAAACGUGUCGAAAACUUGUUUCGUGUUUUUCAGAUUGAUACGAACUUUCCUUCCGCUGUAACCAGCUUGCGUGUUGGAACAAAUUGUCCAAUUUUACGAUUAAUUGAUCUUAAAGAAUGCAAUAAAGUAUCGUUUAAAGCGAUCGAUUAGAUAAUCUGGUACGAUACAAACACAUCGUUUCACGUUUGAAGUAUAGAAUUUUUCUUUCGCGAUUUCUUAACAGUUUCGGAUAAAAAAUGAGAAAUUAACAAGUUCUGCAAUUACACGAAGUGAGCAGUAUCGUAGAAUUUCAAUAUUUGAUCUUGAAAUUUAACGUGUUUCACCGUUGUGAAAGUACAUAUAAUAAGUAAAUAACGAUAUAAAUUGUCAAUUUUCAAUGAUUAACGCGUAAUAUGUUACGCCGAUUACUUUAAUUUAAAAAGACAACAAAGGUGUCAAACAAUUUGUGUAUCUGUAAUUCGCAAAACACGUGCGUGACCCUUAAUUGUUCCGAUAAUUUAACAAAUAGAUAUAAUACAACGAAUUUUACGUUUGAAAAGAGGAACAACGAAUAAAUUAAGAACCCUAUCAAUUAUAUCAUAAUUUAACACAUGUCAUAAUGCUAUAAAUUAUAUUAUAAUAUCGGAGUAAUUUUGUCGAGUUGAAUCGAUAGUGGAAAUGUAGAUAAGAUCUAUAGUGGUAAUGCAAUGCUAAUAUUAUCGAUGUUGGUGGUAGUUUAAUCAGAACACCAAAGAUGAAUGGAUAUUACGCUAUUGUAUUACUAACGUUACAGUCAGCUUCAUUAUGUAUCUGAGAACCUAAUGACGCGAUAGAACCACUAUACUAUACUACCAUUUUUUUUUUUUGGUAAAAAUAAUGUUAUUAUUUUAUAUUGGAACGCGAUGAUAUUAAGAAGCACUCGAUUUUACACGGCGAUGAAGGGUUAAUAUUUUGCAAUUUUCAGCAGAUAAACUUAUUACUCCGAAACUUAUAUUACGCACAUUUCCAUUGAAAAUACAUCAAUAGAAUGGUAAAAGUUACGCCACUUCUUCUUUUAAACAGAAACUUCUAUAAUUAUGAAAUUAAAAAUUAAUAAGGGUAAAUCAAUUUCACCCAGCUCGAUCUUAUCCCUUACAAAUGUGAAGUAUAAUAUAAUUUAUUUCUAACAAAAUAAAAAUUUCGAUCAUCCCUGGAACAACCCCUCAAAAUUUAAUUACUUUGUCAAAACACCUUUAUUUCUAACAAAACGAAAAACAUAGAAAAUCUCUACACGAAUGAAUUGUAUCUAAGCUAAAUCCUGAAAAUCGCUACUCUAAGAAAAUGUCUACUUUUACCAAAAUAAAUAAAUAAAUAAUAGAUCUCUAAUUGUAGAAAUUAUUAUUCAAAAAAUUGAUACGUAAUCGAAACGAUAAAUUAACGCCAACCUUGCCAGCCUCGGUCAAACGACCGCUUUGAAAAUUUCAUUAAAAAUUGUGCGUUGCGUUCAUCGUUAUUUCUUUUGUUCAUCCAACUUCAUGUGAAUUCUUAUAUUACCUGAUUAAUCGAUUUCUCAAUUUUUGUUAAUAUAAAAAUUUACAUAAAGUUAGACGAACAAAAGAAGCAACAAUAAACGUACAAUAUUAAACUAAAUUUUAAAACCGGUUUCCCGACCUGGUCUGGCAAGCCCAACGCUAAUUCAUUUUCUCAAUUCGAAAGCUUCAAACAAAUAGAAAGAAAAAGAGGCGAAAUAGCGAUUAUACAUCAAAAGUUUAAUAUCCACCAUAAUUUCAUGGUAGUACAACUAUUACAAGCAUGGGCUGCCAAGAGCAGUCUACCAGUUUCUCUAGUUUCCUCUUCAACGCACUUCAAUCCCAUUCAGCCUUCAACCCUGCACCCUGCCGCGACAAUCAGACGCCCUGAGCAACUCCAGCUACGAUAGAGCAACCGAUCUAGGUCAAUCGGUUGCCAGGCAACAAUUUCCUCGUCUCGUCGUACGCGUUGUCUGAAAAUCGACGACGUAACGUCGCUCCUCGCUGAACCGGGAAGUAUACAGCUCCCGUGGGUAUUUUCCCUGCACGGUUGUUGCCUCAAUUUUCAAUCGAUUACGCGGUCGAAGAAGCGAUCGAACUGUAACCGCACCGUGAUUCGGCUCGUGUGCAAACGAACGCCGGCCAAUUUCCACGAAUUCACCGCGGUAUCGAACGAAGGUAAUGGGGAAAUUGGUCGGACGCUGUGAAGAACUGGAAGCUGCCAGAGACGAAGGGACUCUAUUACCCGUCGAGUUACAGCGAUCAUCGAAGUUUCUGACCGAGUGGAAACUUUCCACCUGGGUUCAAUGUUUCGUUGUUUCGAGGUUUUACGGUGGAACAGCGUGAUCUCCAAGCUAGGACCGUGCUUUCGUUAGAAUUUUAGAUGGUUGCACAUACACGUUGGUAUCUUUGGACUUUGAAUCUUUUCGAUGGGCACGUUCUUGGCGACUAGGAUUUAUUAUGCACCGUUAUAGUAAGUUUCUCUGUAAAUGAACAGCUUGUUUCACGAUUCAAGUAAACGUUUUAGACGUUUGAAAAAUAGGAUGAAUAUUACUUCGUCGAUGUUACAGGCUAGCAUAUUUUAGUGAAGUAUUAAAAGAAAUGUUUUGCCUUAGAAAAUGAAACGAUAGAACUUUGUUGGUAACCAAGGUUCCUUUCCUAUUUAUCCGUGGAAUUUUCAUAAGAUAAAUUCGACAUUGCGGUAUUGUAUUUGCGAAACGGAGUCAAAUUGCGGCAAGGAAGAGAAUGACAGUGGUUUUGCAGGUACGCGUUUGACGACGCACCUGCGACAAAUUUUCGAUUCCCAUGGGCCAAACAAUUUGUAGACAAAGCGAAUUUACUUGGUGAUUUAUAAAGACGUAAAAUUGUUAAGAUCGUUGUACGGGAAGCAUAGUCUGUAAUACGGUUUCCUCAAACUUGUCUACUUUUCGAAGAAACGUAUAUACGGACGAGCAUUAAUCCGUGUCUUUUAUGCUCCAAUUUGCCUGCAUUCAAUUGUAUUCAAUGAAAACUCGCAGCGGUGCGAUUACCAUCGCGACGUUACGUUAUUUCGCUACCAACCAGUUUGUUGAUAAAAAGAUAGUAGUCUCUAUAUGAAGAGAAUUCUGGGCGAAUUAUCUUUAAGAUUCAUGCAGAUAAACUGCUUUUAAAUAAUUAUACCAGCGCGCUGCACGAUUGUUUUAUCUGCGAAACUCCUCUGCUUUCGUAUAAUUAUGAUUUCAAUGAAAACACAAACUUAGAUUAUUUCGUAACAACACGCAGAAAUUAGAAAUUCCCUCUGAUUGUUGCGUUCUUCAUACUAUUUGCGUUUCAUUGUUGGAAUAAAUAACACGAGACCUUGACGCAACAAAAAAAAAAAACGUUCCCCGUAAUUCAUUCUUAUCUCGAUCGAUCGCUAUUUUCAAUAAACAAGUAAAACAAAGUACAAACAACGUACUACCGUCCAUUAUAUCGUUACCAUCCAUUAGUAUUGCAUAAUUAUUCGGACAACUUAAUUCCAAAUUUACACUUCGAUGCUUCCACUUGUAUAAUUAAUGGAAAGUUCUCGGCUUACCUAACGUUCAUCCAACUACGAGCAAUCUUCGUAAACUAUUUCAGUUUCUGUUUACAUUUUGCCAAACACGUUGUUCGAACUUCGUUGAUCGAGUUGGUCGCUGUUCCAAGCAAAAUGUCACGAAUCAAAUCUGAUCGAAUCGAAUGAGAUCAACGCAAAGCGAAACUCGUCGCGUGCGAAAGAACGCGGGUUAAGCUUUGACGAGGCAAACCGAAGCCAAUGUAAAUGCAAAUCCAAGCUUCGACGUAUCACGAUAGUUAAAGUUAAUGAAACGAGGAACAACGGUGAAAUAAUUGAAAUUGUUCCGUACAGAAAUAACACGAGCUCUGCGUGCACAUGUGAUUUCUGUCUACGGAUCAAUGUCACACGACGAACAAUCAAUGAGAAUUGGUUGGUCGAUGGAGACAUCGCAGAUACCCGGCGCCCGUAUUAUACGCGCUUCGUGUGGGUGGCUGGUACAAUCGUGUUCGCGUGCGUGCACCCUGAGCACACACGUAAACAGGUCGUGUUCGUGAUAACCAGCAUGUCAUUAGCCUGUCACGGACGACGAGAUGCGACGCGCGGCGUCUCUCCGAUUUCAUUUGGCGUCAAUGAUCGGGAUCAAUUUGCGCUGACUUUGCCCAGAGGGUGGCACAAACCCACCAGACGCUGGCAGACUUCGAUCGAUUUCGCGCGAUUUAUGAUCGAGACGUUGUUGAAUCGCGCGGUUGACAUAGAAAGGGAUUUUGUUCUUAUUUCAUUCGCAGGAAGUGGAUCUACCCGAUGUCGUAAUCUGUCGGUGAGAGGAUACAGUUGGAUUAGCGUCCUGCCUGCGCUCGGAUUUGCAGUGUGUUAUACACGUACUUGGAGAUUAGCAACUGCAGAUUUCAGUUUUAGUGACCUGUUUCAAAAACAAAGUGCGAUGGCUUAAGGAAUUUAAGUUUAUUGCCAUAAACACCGACUAUUAUCUUAAACUGCGGAAUGUUUGAUCGUAAAUCAAGGAACGUAAAUCAAGAAAUAUAUAUAUAUAUUAACGUUAUUCGAUUUCUCUCGGACUUGAAUAAUGGAUGAAAUACAGGGUGGGUGGUAACUGGUGGUACAAGCGGAAAGGGGGUGAUUCUAUGCGAAAAAAGAAGUCGAAAAUAUAGAAUAAAAACUUUUCGUUUGAGCCUUUGUUUUCGAGAAAAUCGACUUUGAAUUUUCGCUCGGUACGCGUGCACUUUGUCGCGUCUCGUUAUAACGGAUCUCACUGUAGAUCGUUGUCUCGAUGGAAAAAUUAAAAAAAAAAUUUUUAUUCUACAUUUUCGUCUUCUUUUUUCGCGUAGAAUCACCCCCUUUCCGCUUGUACUACCAAUUACCAACCACCCUGUAUAUCGUAUGCAUCUACGAUAUGUUGAAAGCGCUUUCAAGGUCGAUCUGAAACAUUAGGUCGUCCGAAAAGUUUCUUCCGUUUUAUAUUAUGUUGAGGUUAUUCGAUGUGUAAACAGAGAAAACUCGUGAAUAAAGUGUAAGGCAGAAAAUAUAUUUAAAUAGAAGUGUAAUUAUAAGUAAGAAUACAAUUUGAGUUGAUCCAGAUCCGCACGCUAGUGUCACGUAAAAUAACAAAAUAAAAAAAAAAAAAGAAAUUUGAGGUGAAAAAUAAAAAAAAGAAAACUUUAUUUUUUUUCUAACAACAAUCCACUUUACAAUCCACUUCCGAACUCUAGGCGUGACUUUCUAAGACCGACACUCUUAUGAUUUGACUUUCGAUCGGAUCCGAUUACUUUCUUUUGCCAUCCCUUAACAUCCCCACCGUCCAUGCAUUUGCUAGGCGUCCGCGACCAUUGCCACGUGCUCUUUCUUCUAGAACCUUCGGUGGAAGGACCGUUGGGAUGUUGAUAGUUCAUUAGGCACUUCAGCGAUAUACAUUGUGGCCGAGUGCCGUCACAUCUUUAUCUCCAUCGUCAGUUCAUCGGAUUUGAAGUAUGCCGGUUGUGACGCUAGCUGUGUUACUCAAUAACUGAAAACCCCGAAGCCAACGUCGCCUGUCUACUGUUUAUGGUCUGACUUCGUCGCAGUUUUUUGUCUGUCGAUGGCUUCAGUGCUUGAGAAAACUAAAAAGACCAGAUGUAGAGUUUUCUUAGAAGUGGUAACCAUUUCAACAUAUUAUUUUAUCAAAUUACGUACGAUCCAUUUUGUUCUAUCAAAAUAAAAAUCAUAAGGUUGGACAGAUUAGAUUUCAUGUUUGUAUAAAGAUGCAUCGUUGUGAAAGACGGAUCUGUAAAAGAAAGACACUUUUCGGACAACCUAAUAAUAGCAAUCGCGAAAGGAAAAUACGUUAAACAUUCUCUGAAAUUAGUAUGCACUGCGAAACUUUCGAUCUCGUCGGUCGUAUGUUAAUAUUUGUAUUUUACGUAUAAGAGUACUUUUACUGUGUAACUUUUCUCUGCUAGCUACUUUCGCGCGACUCCCUGUGUCAUGUUCAAUCGAAACCAUAAGAUCAACUGUGUAGGAAAAGAAAGAGUAAAAGAGAAAGAGAUAGGAAGAGCGUAUGGGAGGCAAAUUAUGUAUCGACCUUUACGCGCAUGCAUGCGAGUAUUUUUUUUUCCCUAUGUAACGUUCAAUUUUAUUUGUCAUCGACUCGAUAACUCGAUUCGAUCAAGCUGACCUACGUGGAGGAAUGCGAUAAGCGAUUCUUCGGACAGUGGAUAAUUCCUAUAAUAUUACUGUUUAAGGUGCGAUUAUACAGAGUGACGCAGAAGAAAGGUAACGGUGUAUAAACUUGGUGACGAAGACGACAGAUUGAUAUGCAUUUCUGGGAAAUUUGAAAAAAGGAAAAUGUCGAAAGUGCGUUUAAUGUACAAAAUAUAAAAAAAACAUUUAAACAGUGAAGUAUACACUUGUCCUAAAAUUUAACGGCAGUAAAUUAAUUAAAAUUAUUUUAAUAAAGAUACGAAAUGCCAUAAAAAUGCGUGGCCUAUUCAGGACGAACGCGUGCGAUCCUUCAUAGAGAUUAGACCGAGCAUCAAAGAAUACUCAACAGUUACGUGCAUAUUUCCAAUUUAGUCUUGACUCGGGCUUGUGACAACGAUAUCUGUUGAAAAAAUUAUAGUCGAACAGGCAUUUUUGCAGUAUUCGUUCGACUUCCAAUUCGGCGAAAAAUUAUCUGGAAAGCAAAUCAAUUAAUUUUACUAAAUAAAGGAAGGAACGAGUAUUCGCUCGCUUGGUCCAGAGUAGUUUAAACGAAUCUUUUUUACCAUACAAUUGGCAAAUUUUUGGUUGGUAGCGGUACGUAGUAGUCGAAGACCCGGACGGAUGAGAAAUUGAAAAGCGCGAAAACAGACGCGUGACCACAGCCGGCUAAAUCGCAAACAAGGACAUCGUGGCCAACAAUACGCUGAAUGUCGGCUUCGACACGGAUGCUCGCCGAUUAACCUUAGGGUUUUUGAAAGAAACUCGCGAUUACCAGCCGUAUCACCGGUAUGUAACGUGUUACAUACACCACGGUACCCGCACGUCACCAUUCCUUUGUCUUUUUUCAUCUUUAUUUCCUCUCCAUUUUGCUUUUCCCUACUAUUAUACAAAUGUGUUAUCUGGAACGACCUCUUAUCGGAUAAAAAAUAACCGAGCGUUGCUUAAAUCGUGCCAGUGGAGAUUUCCAGUGGAGAUUACAGUUUGCUAGUGAAAUUUCACCACGUUCCUUAGUCCUUUUUUUCUAAAGGUUCGCAGAUUUUCAAGACGACAAUGGUGCGUUUAAUCGUGACGACCGCGUUCUUUUUUUUAAUGUACGUUGUUACUCAGAUACAGUGUCGUUGAAUCAUGAAACGACAUUGAAAGAAUUAAAAAGAUAGAAUCCAAAAGGAGAUUUGUCUUGUCAUUGAAAUAUCGCGAAGAGUACUUUCGACAUUCUGAAUGUUUCUGUAUAUGCGUUCUACGUAUCGUUGAAUACAAUUUUAGUAUAAACGCCAAAAUAUCAAUAUUUGUAUGUAACGUAAACGGUUGUAGCCAACGAACAAUUCUAAAUGAAAGACAAAAAUUUCGUUGGGAAUUUCCCUUCUACCGAUCAAUUUGCGAGUUUUCUCGCAAAGGAGAAAGGUUCUACCAUGUGGAUGUUUGCAAUUUCCUCUAAGUUUGUAGAUAGAGCGUUGUACACAUGCAUAUGUAUAUUUGGUGAUGGAAAGGGACGGAAUAUUUCGUUAUCGUACACCGAUUCCGCUUGAAAUUGGAAUCUCCUCUAAUCUUCACACGUCUUCGACUAUGUAAUCAUAUCUGUCAGACCAUUUCGCAAUAGUUUGUCCCUAACAAUCUACGCUUUUAUUUUUAUUCGAUUCUUCACGAUUCGCGUAAAUAAGUCGUUAGGAAAAUUUUUACGUUCUCACGAUCGAUAAAGAUAUUUACCGAGAUACAGCAGCUACUUGAUGACUGCAUUCUGCCAUAAAUUGCAUGCAUUGAUAAAGCUCGCCAUGUUCUUUACUUCUCAUUCCGGAGCUAAUACUGAAAUUUUAAUUUCUGCGAAAUGAUUUUAAUACCAAAGCGAUAAGAUGUCGCACUUUCUACUUAUAGUAAAACCAAUUUGCGGUACUACAGGUGGCGAUUUCCAAAAAAGUCUUCCUUUGCUUGAAUCUUGCCGCGUUUUUCAACAGCCAAUGCAACUUCCACUCUUAAACUUUCCAGCUUCCUCUCCACCGCAACCGUAAAAUCGAAAAAUCGAGUAAUAAGAUGUUUCGUUAAGGAGUCAGGAAUAUUCAAAGGACACCAACCAGCGAUAGACCUUCGUUCCAUUCAGAUCGUUCAAAGGACAUUCACGCGAUUCUUAUCGCGAACACCUGUCGAUAACUUUGUGACCCACGAGCGCGAUACGCGAAAGGAUAAGUUCGAUCGAUGUUACGUCGAUGUAAAGACACGCAGGUCGACUGCGUAGCUAUGUAAGUUGUUGCCUUUUCUAAUCAAUUUCAUACUUGUCGUUGAUAACAGAUGAAAAUAGGCACUUUUGCAAGAGGAAAUUAGAAAUUCAAUUGCAUGGAAAACUUACGCAAGACGAACGAGUUUACGGAAACAUGUCGGAUGGCAUGACGAAUCGAUUCUGGAAGACAUCGUCUCCAGAUUGACAACUAUACUACGUACGUACCUUUCGAAGUUAAGUACCGUUCAAAAUACGGAAGGAUAGUCUAUGCAAUGUAUAUUUGUUGGCAGAAACACGAUUAUCUUUAUCGAACCACGGAUAAAUAUUUUAUGCUAUUUCAGUACGCCCUAUGCUAUUUUAGUCCUUUGGCGCGUAAACAAGGAAACGAUUGUAUUUUCGUGACAAUUACUAUGCUCGAAUACGUCGAUUUCGAGCUUCUCGGAGUAUCGUUGUUAUCUAUUUUUACUAUACCAAGUAAAAUACUUGCUCCGAAACUUUCCAAAUAGGAAGAAAAGCUAAAGCUUUUGAAAUACGAUUAAAAAGUCCCGAAUUUUUUCAACAACUUCUUCCGUAGUUUUUUUUUCUUUUUUACGUAUUUUUCUAUAUGUUUAAAUUUUUAGAUUUCUAACAAACAUUUGGAGAAUGUUAAUAUUAGAAUCUCUGUUACCCUGACAAUUGUAUGUACCGGAUAAAACCAAUGAAAAUACGUGAAUUUGUGCGAGAUAAAAAUAAAAAUUGAUGGCCACCAAUAAGCGCGACUCUAUGGGAAAAAUCAGAGGAAAAAGAGAGCCGGAACGGCGCGCAAUUGGGUCGUACAGUCACACGUUCUUGUCAAGGCGACCGGAAGUAAAGGGCGUUCGCAAUCCUGGAUGAAGAAAGGCUGUUAAACAAGACUUUUUAUUUUUUCGCCAGUCUAUGUUUGAUUUGGUUCUAGCCAAGCUAAGCCAACCAGGUUAGUCAAAAGAUCAUGUUCCACGGUACGAACAUCGGUGUUCGGGAAUAUUGAGAAUAAAAAUUAAUUUACUACUUAAACUGUACGCAACGAUCCUUUUGAUGGAAUUACCAGCUUCGUAAAUAUCUAUAAUUAGCCAUUUCAUUAUAGGUAAUGAGGAAAACUCGUCGGUUGUUACGUUUUGAUACAAUCUGGAUAAGAUGAUAAGCAGAUUAUUAUCAUUAUCUUUAGCAUAAUUUCUUGGUAUAUUAUGUUCGUAAUUUUAGUACCUGUAUUAACAUUAUUCCGCGAAUGUAAAUUAAUUGUUUAAAUAGGGAAUAUCGUAUUGAAAUAAAAAUGGAAGACGAGGGAACCUUAUGCAAAUGCGUGGUAUUUAAAACGCUACGCUUGAAUCUCGAUUAUCUGAUAAAUAUUCACGAAUACGUUUAUUUAAAGCUGUCGAUUGUCGGAUUGCGAUGGCAGAUAAAAGGAAAUAUCGUAUCGAAACAAAAGCAUGUUUUAAAGUUAAGUAAUAUAUUUAAUUAAUUAAUAUCGCAGAUUUUUAUAAACAUUCUUAUCUUUUCAUCAGUUCGUAAUUUCUAAAGAGAUAACAAUAACCUUGCUGUUUCGUGUUUUUCACGAAUUUACUCGGCAGAAAGGUUAAUGAAGGCUAUGAAAAAUCAAAAUUGCAAAUUACCUUCGAGAACGUGUGAAUACGUGCGUGAAAGAGUGAAAAGGAUUUGCAUAUUCGAUAAAAAUGGCUCGUGCCUGAACGUUCGUCGAGCAUCGAUAAUUAAUUUCGACGAGUUUGAUAAUAAAAUCACGAAAUUGAAGCAUGAUGUAACGUGACGUAAAUCUGGUUAAAUCAAAUUGAACGAAAUACUACAUUGAAAUGUUGAAUGAGCGAAAAUGUGUUUUCUUGGCUGUGACAGGUGCAAUGUAUCUAAUCUUCGACGUACAAGUGGAUCUUUGAAACUCAAAGGUUAUUGCACCACUCUAGCAACAAGUGUCAGUCAACGGAUAAGAGAAGGAAGAGAAAGAGGAGAGAUAAAGUUUCUCUUUCGCAGCCUUCUCCCUUAUCACUGACACGGCUCCUACCAUCUAUCUCUCUUAUCUAACCAAUCAGAUCUGAAACGAUAUUAUAUCGUGCUUCCUCAAAGUAAAUACAAUUUUUCUCAUAUACGUUGGAAACGUAUAUCGAGCGUUGAAAUCUAUUUUUUUCAUAAGGAGAAGCAAUAGAUUUGUCGAAUUUUAGGAGAAAUCUAUAGAAAAUCUAGAAACAUAUCGAACACUGGAUUAUCGACUUGAAGCUUGCACGAGGAAUCACAUACUUUCAUUUUAUUUGACAGAUUAUUCCAUUAUUCGUUUGAAGAUUUGCUUGAUAAAAAUUUAUUAAGAUUUAAGCUUAUUAAGAUUUAUUAAGAAGUAUGGAUUUUACUUUGCCAUCGAUCAUGUUAUUUUAAUCUACUUUCGAUAGAACGAUUUUUCUAUAGGAAUUUAUAUAUUUUCGCGUAUGAAUGCGUAGAAAUAGAAGGAAAAGUGUGAGCUUAAAAAUCGCAGAACGCAGCGAAACGUAAUAAGUAACGUAAUAAGUAGGUAACUAAUAAAUUCUAUAUAAAAACAAAUAAAAAAAAAGAAGGAAAGACGUAAUGGAAGAAAUUCAAUAAUAAAGUAAAGAUGAAAAUUAAGCAAUUUUAAUUUAAAAAUCAUGCAAAAAUAAAAUGAUAUACAAUAAUUAAAACUUCCAUAAAUGAUAACGAUAACAAUACGAUGUAAUUCCUCGUACUUUUAGGAUACAUUUUAAUUCACCACUAAAGGAAAUCUUUCUUUACAGUGAAACAUUCAAGGAUCGUUAUAUUCUAGAUUUUGCUCCGUCAUUAUCGCGUCAACGGAGCAAGAAUCUAGAGUUAUCGCGAUUAAAAAGAGAAAGACCAAGGCGAAUAUGUGUAAACAAAAUUCUUGUCCACAGAUUAUUUCUUGUUUGCUCGGCUCGAAUUUAGAAGCUACUGUGCAAACGUAAUUAAUUCGAACCAGUUGCGGGGGUGGCGAUAUUUGUCUUUAAUACUACGAACCGCUUGCGCACUUAUCAAAACGUUGAGAAAUUAUUCACGUUUCAAGAUGCAACAAUGCGUGAUUUCAUUAAGACGACGAAUUAGCGUUACCCACGUUCUUGCAUGAAUUAAUUCAUUUCUUGAGACGGUAGACAAGAUUUACGAGGAGGAAACGAGCGUGUUUGUCGAAAGAUAGAAUAUCUUCCCCGUUACCAAGAUUAAGAUUACGAAGAAAGCGAACAACGAACAUCACAUUAAUAGAAAAAUGCGAAUUAAAAAACCACCGGCAACUGUACCUGUUCUUCUUCACUUCUUCAUCCUCUUUCUUCCUUCUCUCCCGCUUUCCUCUCUUUUCAUUCUCUUCGCUGUUAUAUUCGUUUCGAUCUAAUAAUAUUAAUAAAAUAACUGUUCGAAUAUUCUACUAUAGACUCGGCUCAUACAGAUUCAUAUCAUAAUGCGUAUCUAAUAUUUCUUUCUUUCUCUAGAAUUUUUAUCUACGUUAAGAAAAAUCCUCAGAAAUUUUCUUAUAAUCGUUUCUUUGAUAUUAAAUCCUGAUUCACGUUACUCUCCGGAGUUAAAAUACCCUGUCCACUGUUUCACAACGUUCGGUAAAACUGGUAUACAUGUAGACAAUCAGCAAACAAUUUGAUCUACCUAUUUGUUCGUUUAUUCGAGGACCUGAUAACUCUCUGUCCUCGACUUCGACUAACACGGUCAACUCGCUGCUCAAACUCGCGCCCUUCUGCGUAAUACGUACAUUGUUUGCCUGUAAUUAAUCUCGAUUAUUCUGUAAUCCGCGCGAAUUGGAACAGAAGUGUUAAAAGACCGAAAGAAAGGGGCGAAAAGUGGGAGGAAGAAAAAUUCUAUUUUAAAGUCGUAGAAUUGAGAAUUGUGGAAUUUUUGAGUUAGGCGUUUACCGAUUGUAUAUCGAGCGAAGAAUGGAAAAGUUCAUCGGCGCAAUGAUAUUUGCAUAAUACGAUGAUGAGUUUUACAUUAAUCGAGAAAUUUUUUCUUUCGAAUUUCAAUACCAAGACCAAUAUCGCCGCUGUUGAAACAAAAAUAACCUUCGAUCGAUUCCUGUUUAUUUAAGUAGCAUAAAUUCAACGACUUAUACUAUAUGUGCAAUCCUACAAAUCCUACUAAUCUUAAUUUCUUCAUUGAAAAUUCAAAAGCUCGUCGAACAUCGUCGCUCACGAAAUAAAAAUUACUUUUUCGAUUAUCAUGUUUAUUCGAGUAACACGAACUAAAUUUAUUCUCUACCUAUUUACUACUUUGCUUCUGAUAAGCGAUUCGAGUCGGCAAUAAGAAGGUAUCUCGUUAAUUACGCUUGUUUUGCCCUAACUUUAUCCUCGUUCGAACAUCACCUCCAGCUCCAACAUCAUGCCCUUAUCGAUGAGCUAAUUGUUGCGAGGCUGGCGUUUAAUUAACCGACUCGGUGAACUUUCCCGCUUUUAUCCGCCGAGGGGUUACGAUAAUUUAUUUACGGGAUGAUUGCCCCAGCUCGAGCCAAUUGUAUCUGGGUGCCAUUUUUUACACGACGACAGUUGUUUCACGAGGUGAACAAACUCGUCCGUAGACGGUUCGCGCAGAUUCUUAGCGAACCGUAAUGACGAAAUUGUACGGUUAUCUUCAGCAAUCGAUUGUCCGAUCGAGAAACUCGCCCCCCGUGAAAUUUUCUCUGUCGUGUGUCUUAAUGUCGUUAGGAUCGUGUAACGAAGAACACCGUAAUACAGGUGAAUCGACAAGGAUUUGUAAAUUAAUUACUUUGUAAAUUAACAGCGGUGUACGGUUUUACGUUUAGAACUAUGGGCGAAUAUGGUGUACAAAUUGCGCCAUGGGCACCUAAACCAAAGAUAUUUGAAGAAAUACAAACGUUUAAGGGAGUGUCCUGAAUUAGAAUGUUCUGAAUUAGAAAACAGAGUCUUUUUGUGAUUUUUUUAGAAGGGAAAGAAAUAAAUGAAGUUAUUGAAUUUUCAGGUAUGGUUUUACAUAUAUUUAACGAAUACAAAGAAAUUUUUUUAAAGUAAAAAAGAAAUUAUAACAGACUUCCAAGCCUAUUUCAUUUCAUGGGCUGCUCGAUGAACUAAAAAGAAGGCAGAAAAUAGCGUGAAAUUAAAAAGUUUGCCGGGUUUAAAGAAAAAAAGUGUCUUAUAAAAAGAAAAAAUAAACUUUAAGGUGCUAUAACAAUUAUUUAAAUAAACUUUUUGACGAACUUUUUUAGUUUAUCGAGAAGAAAAAUAUAUAAUAAUUUAAUCCUUCUUUUGGUUUUUUGUUUCGCUCAAGAAUUACGAGAUAGAUCUUUCACGCCGAUUGAAAACUGCAGCCCAUGAAAUAGGCUUAGAAAUCUGUUAUAAUUUUCUUUUUUACUUUAAAAAAAUUUUUUUAUAUUCGUUAAAUAUAUAUAAAACCAUACCUCAAAAUUCAAUAACUUCAUUUCUUUCUUUCGCUUCUAAAAGAAAAUCACAAAAAGACGCUGUUUUAAAACAUUCUAAUUCAGGACAGCCCUUUAAAAUUUCACUAUUGUAAAAGCGCUUGAUAAAGUUUCGAUGAAAAAUUAUAAAUCGCUUACUCUGACUAUUCCGGCAGUUUUACUGUAAAAUACUAAGAUCACGAGUAACUGGAACAUAGGGGAGUCUAAAUGAAAGGUAUAUGGAAGGAUAAAAAUCUGCAAGAAUGUAGCGAAUGUAUAGAACUUCGACGUGAAAUUACGAAUUGCAUAUUUGAAUUAUUCUGGUAGUAUUUAGCGUGGAGAAAUAGUAACUUCCGGGUUUUAAAAAUAAAAUAUACUUAUAUCGCGUGUCCUUCUCUAAAUGAGACAUUCGUUGAAUAUAUUAAAUACUGACGCGAAAUGAAUGUAAUAUAUUUAUAGUUAGAUUACGAUUAGGCAGAAGAAGGGCAAUUUGCAGAGUUUAAAAAUGAAAUCUACUUCCGUGAUGAAUUGUGUUUGUUUAAAUGAAAUAUUGAAUGUCCAGAGACAAAUGACAAAUUGCAGUUUUUAAGAGAAUAAUAUAUGGCAUACCGGUAAUACUGCAGCUCGUAGCGUAAAUUUUAAACGAAUGAAAUUAAGUAAAAUUAAAUAAAAUAGCAGGAAACAUGGAAGUUGAAUGGAAUAUUACGAAUAUUUGUAACAAAUUAGCUUACAAUGAAAUUCGUAAACGUGUAAAUUACUAGAUAUGUAUCGAAAUAAGAAAUAAAGUUUGCUCACUUGUA
This is a long non-coding RNA of Bombus huntii, 17451 nucleotides long. RefSeq lists it as uncharacterized. The record is from RefSeq and is a predicted model, not a curated record. NCBI's taxonomy places the organism in Eukaryota, Metazoa, Arthropoda, Insecta, Hymenoptera, Apidae. The transcript has 2 exons.